UCUGUAUGUAAGGAUAUGAGUGAGAGAGGGCUGCCAGAGGACUGGAGCACAACUAAUGUGGUACCAUCAUUCAAGAAUGGAGAGGUGCCAUAUAGAGAUGGUGAGAGGGCAAGAAGAUCCUUCACCCUGCAACUUUUGGGAUUUGGCAAAAGAAAACAGUUCACUAAAGCAUUUUAUUCAUUUUCAGGCCAUCUUGCAGAAUUGGAUGAGCGGUCUUAUCUUUAAACAUCCUUCUGAAAACUUUUUAAAAAUUGAGUAGCUUUCCCACUAUGCCAGUUAAACUUAAUUAAUACAAAUUAUUCCCAAUGUAUUUACCAGAAAUAAAUG
Molecule: non-coding RNA, 327 nt
Organism: Chiloscyllium plagiosum (whitespotted bambooshark)
Lineage: Eukaryota; Metazoa; Chordata; Chondrichthyes; Orectolobiformes; Hemiscylliidae
Source: RefSeq, a predicted model, not a curated record